AACCUGUUGGCCUCCUGGGGACGUCUGGAUCGGGGUUUGUCAGUUCCAUCCCCCAGCACCUCAGAUCCAACACCAAUGGAGCUAGGAGGUGCUGCUAUGAGGGGGACCGGAGGGGGGACCAUUCCCUGCACCACCUGUGGCCGCAGAGGACACACUGCUGGUCGGUGCUGGGGAGGUUCUCUAGGGAGUCGAGGCAGCAGGCAGGGCACUGGUGGAUCAUCCCAGGCCAGUGGUGGCUGGUCCGCUCCAGCAGUCUGAGGUGCGGGAGGUUCCUCCACCCCCUCUGGACAUCGACGGGGCCCCGGCAUAUACUGUGCGAGCCAUUAUGGUGGAAAGGGAGUUGGAUGACAGAAAGCAGCUGACAGACCAGGGCCCAUAGCAGUGCUGAUCUCAGAGUAGCAGUACUGAUUUAGGAUCAGUUUAGCCUUAUAGAUCACAAUGAAUAUGAUUACAAUGACAAGGGGGAGCUAGUCCUAGAUCGCUAUUCCUACUCUGAAGCAGCUUUGUGAAUACGGGCCCUGGAAGAAAGCUGUUGCCCAAUUCCUUGCACAGCAGUCGUUUCACCACAGGACCCUAGAGGUAUUACAGUCAAUGCUUAUGAACUGAGUAUAAGUGAAUUUCCAUAAAUCAAUGACACUUACAAAUAGGUAGAAUUGUUCAGCAACAUGUGCAGUAAAUGCUAACACGGCUUUGCAAAUGAAAGGUACAUAAUGUAUUUAUUGUCAUCUCCCUAUCAUGCUGUGACAUGGGCCUGGAUGAUGACAAAUGUUCUUCAAGCUGCUUGAUUGAAUACUGGGGCCUUCAGUGCUACUGGAAGCAAGUGCCUUACCAGGGAGCACAGCAACAGUCUCUCUCACAGCCAUUCUGUCAACAUGUAUUGAAUGUAACCACUCAAAUUUAUAUGAACGACUACUGGCGAAAGCACUGACUUAUAUUUACUUUGUCUAUUUGAACCAUCCUUCAAUCUUGACUGGGAUACAUAUUUUAGUUCACACACCUUUGUGAUGUGUCUGAUAAACAUGAAUAAAAAUGUUUUCACCCUUGCACUGAUUUUAGACCUUUUGAAUCAUAAGCUGUAAGUGCUGUAUCGAUUUUGAAAUUACCACAGAAAUACAAAAAAUGUAAUAAAAAAGUGAAGACCAACAUGCCAAA
Molecule: long non-coding RNA, 1152 nt
Filed under: Salmo salar (Atlantic salmon)
Lineage: Eukaryota; Metazoa; Chordata; Actinopteri; Salmoniformes; Salmonidae
Description: lncRNA (ENSSSAG00000121383.1)
Source: RNAcentral